UGUAUAAUGGGUCAGCGACUUAUAUUCUGUAGCAAGGUUAACCGAAUAGGGGAGCCGAAGGGAAACCGAGUCUUAACUGGGCGUUAAGUUGCAGGGUAUAGACCCGAAACCCGGUGAUCUAGCCAUGGGCAGGUUGAAGGUUGGGUAACACUAACUGGAGGACCGAACCGACUAAUGUUGAAAAAUUAGCGGAUGACUUGUGGCUGGGGGUGAAAGGCCAAUCAAACCGGGAGAUAGCUGGUUCUCCCCGAAAGCUAUUUAGGUAGCGCCUCGUGAAUUCAUCUCCGGGGGUAGAGCACUGUUUCGGCAAGGGGGUCAUCCCGACUUACCAACCCGAUGCAAACUGCGAAUACCGGAGAAUGUUAUCACGGGAGACACACGGCGGGUGCUAACGUCCGUCGUGAAGAGGGAAACAACCCAGACCGCCAGCUAAGGUCCCAAAGUCAUGGUUAAGUGGGAAACGAUGUGGGAAGGCCCAGACAGCCAGGAUGUUGGCUUAGAAGCAGCCAUCAUUUAAAGAAAGCGUAAUAGCUCACUGGUCGAGUCGGCCUGCGCGGAAGAUGUAACGGGGCUAAACCAUGCACCGAAGCUGCGGCAGCGACGCUUAUGCGUUGUUGGGUAGGGGAGCGUUCUGUAAGCCUGUGAAGGUGUGCUGUGAGGCAUGCUGGAGGUAUCAGAAGUGCGAAUGCUGACAUAAGUAACGAUAAAGCGGGUGAAAAGCCCGCUCGCCGGAAGACCAAGGGUUCCUGUCCAACGUUAAUCGGGGCAGGGUGAGUCGACCCCUAAGGCGAGGCCGAAAGGCGUAGUCGAUGGGAAACAGGUUAAUAUUCCUGUACUUGGUGUUACUGCGAAGGGGGGACGGAGAAGGCUAUGUUGGCCGGGCGACGGUUGUCCCGGUUUAAGCGUGUAGGCUGAUUUUCCAGGCAAAUCCGGAAAAUCAAGGCUGAGGCGUGAUGACGAGGCACUACGGUGCUGAAGCGACAAAUGCCCUGCUUCCAGGAAAAGCCUCUAAGCAUCAGGUAACAUCAAAUCGUACCCCAAACCGACACAGGUGGUCAGGUAGAGAAUACCAAGGCGCUUGAGAGAACUCGGGUGAAGGAACUAGGCAAAAUGGUGCCGUAACUUCGGGAGAAGGCACGCUGAUAUGUAGGUGAAGCGACUUGCUCGUGGAGCUGAAAUCAGUCGAAGAUACCAGCUGGCUGCAACUGUUUAUUAAAAACACAGCACUGUGCAAACACGAAAGUGGACGUAUACGGUGUGACGCCUGCCCGGUGCCGGAAGGUUAAUUGAUGGGGUUAGCGGCAACGCGAAGCUCUUGAUCGAAGCCCCGGUAAACGGCGGCCGUAACUAUAACGGUCCUAAGGUAGCGAAAUUCCUUGUCGGGUAAGUUCCGACCUGCACGAAUGGCGUAAUGAUGGCCAGGCUGUCUCCACCCGAGACUCAGUGAAAUUGAACUCGCUGUGAAGAUGCAGUGUACCCGCGGCAAGACGGAAAGACCCCGUGAACCUUUACUAUAGCUUGACACUGAACAUUGAGCCUUGAUGUGUAGGAUAGGUGGGAGGCUUUGAAGUGUGGACGCCAGUCUGCAUGGAGCCGACCUUGAAAUACCACCCUUUAAUGUUUGAUGUUCUAACGUUGGCCCGUAAUCCGGGUUGCGGACAGUGUCUGGUGGGUAGUUUGACUGGGGCGGUCUCCUCCUAAAGAGUAACGGAGGAGCACGAAGGUUGGCUAAUCCUGGUCGGACAUCAGGAGGUUAGUGCAAUGGCAUAAGCCAGCUUGACUGCGAGCGUGACGGCGCGAGCAGGUGCGAAAGCAGGUCAUAGUGAUCCGGUGGUUCUGAAUGGAAGGGCCAUCGCUCAACGGAUAAAAGGUACUCCGGGGAUAACAGGCUGAUACCGCCCAAGAGUUCAUAUCGACGGCGGUGUUUGGCACCUCGAUGUCGGCUCAUCACAUCCUGGGGCUGAAGUAGGUCCCAAGGGUAUGGCUGUUCGCCAUUUAAAGUGGUACGCGAGCUGGGUUUAGAACGUCGUGAGACAGUUCGGUCCCUAUCUGCCGUGGGCGCUGGAGAACUGAGGGGGGCUGCUCCUAGUACGAGAGGACCGGAGUGGACGCAUCACUGGUGUUCGGGUUGUCAUGCCAAUGGCACUGCCCGGUAGCUAAAUGCGGAAGAGAUAAGUGCUGAAAGCAUCUAAGCACGAAACUUGCCCCGAGAUGAGUUCUCCCUGACUCCUUGAGAGUCCUGAAGGAACGUUGAAGACGACGACGUUGAUAGGCCGGGUGUGUAAGCGCAGCGAUGCGUUGAGCUAACCGGUACUAAUGAACCGUGAGGCUUAACCUU
Molecule: ribosomal RNA, 2338 nt
Filed under: Shigella boydii
Lineage: Bacteria; Pseudomonadati; Pseudomonadota; Gammaproteobacteria; Enterobacterales; Enterobacteriaceae
Description: partial 23S ribosomal RNA
Rfam family: Bacterial large subunit ribosomal RNA
Source: RNAcentral